RNAcentral lists this ribosomal RNA (292 nucleotides) under uncultured bacterium. RNAcentral describes it as "partial 16S ribosomal RNA". It matches the Rfam family "Bacterial small subunit ribosomal RNA", at positions 505 to 796 of the family's 1533-position model. The record is from RNAcentral.
GUGCCAGCCGCCGCGGUAAUACGGAGGGUGCAAGCGUUAUCCGGAUUUAUUGGGUUUAAAGGGUGCGCAGGCGGGCUGAUCAGUCAGUGGUGAAAACCCGGGGCUCAACUCCGGACCUGCCAUUGAUACUGUCAGUCUUGAAUUCGGUUGAAGUGGGCGGAAUGUGUCAUGUAGCGGUGAAAUGCAUAGAUAUGACACAGAACACCGAUCGCGAAGGCAGCUCACUAAGCCGACAUUGACGCUCAUGCACGAAAGCGUGGGGAGCGAACAGGAUUAGAUACCCCUGUAGUCC